UACGUAGGUGGCAAGCGUUGUCCGGAUUUAUUGGGUUUAAAGGGUGCGUAGGUGGUUUGAUAAGUCAGUGGUGAAAGCCGGUUGCUCAACAAUCGAGUUGCCAUUGAUACUGUCGGACUUGAGAGAAGUGGAGGUUCAUGGAAUGGAUGGUGUAGCGGUGAAAUGCAUAGAUAUCAUCCAGAACGUCGAUUGCGAAGGCAGUGGGCUGUACUUUAUCUGACACUGAGGCACGAAAGUGUGGGGAUCAAACAGG
This 253-nucleotide ribosomal RNA is filed under the name uncultured bacterium. Its description in RNAcentral is "partial 16S ribosomal RNA". It matches the Rfam family "Bacterial small subunit ribosomal RNA", at positions 524 to 776 of the family's 1533-position model. The record is from RNAcentral.